UACGAAGGGGGCUAGCGUUGCUCGGAAUCACUGGGCGUAAAGGGUGCGUAGGCGGGUCUUUAAGUCAGGGGUGAAAUCCUGGAGCUCAACUCCAGAACUGCCUUUGAUACUGAAGAUCUUGAGUCCGGGAGAGGUGAGUGGAACUGCGAGUGUGGAGGUGAAAUUCGUAGAUAUUCGCAAGAACACCAGUGGCGAAGGCGGCUCACUGGCCCGAUACUGACGCUGAGGCACGAAAGCGUGGGGAGCAAACAGG
Molecule: ribosomal RNA, 253 nt
Filed under: uncultured bacterium
Lineage: Bacteria
Description: partial 16S ribosomal RNA
Rfam family: Bacterial small subunit ribosomal RNA
Source: RNAcentral